This 261-nucleotide ribosomal RNA is filed under the name Proteus mirabilis. RNAcentral describes it as "partial 23S ribosomal RNA". It matches the Rfam family "Bacterial large subunit ribosomal RNA", at positions 1764 to 2022 of the family's 2925-position model. The record is from RNAcentral. Lineage: Bacteria; Pseudomonadati; Pseudomonadota; Gammaproteobacteria; Enterobacterales; Morganellaceae.
GCGCUGAAGCCAGUCGAAGAUACCAGCUGGCUGCAACUGUUUAUUAAAAACACAGCACUGUGCAAACACGAAAGUGGACGUAUACGGUGUGACGCCUGCCCGGUGCUGGAAGGUUAAUUGAUGGGGUCAGCCGCAAGGCGAAGCUCCUGAUCGAAGCCCCAGUAAACGGCGGCCGUAACUAUAACGGUCCUAAGGUAGCGAAAUUCCUUGUCGGGUAAGUUCCGACCUGCACGAAUGGCGUAAUGAUGGCCAGGCUGUCUC